GUGCUUAUCCUCAUCAGUCACUAUCCGUCUAGCAGGCUCCAACUUGACCUUAUUGUCAUUUGGUGCAACUUUCUUCUUUUUUGCAGGAUGUGUACCCAUAUUUGUUUCCAUUUCCUUAGCAACACCAGCUCUUGGAGGCACCAACUCCACAUUAAUGGUCACAGGAAGCUUCUUCUCUAUAGCUUUCCAUCUCGCUUCAAAAUAUUUACUUAGUGUCUCAGCCAUGAAAUGAAAAUCAUUGCCUGGCGGGUUGUACUUCAUUGAAUUUGAGAAAGUUAAUCGCACAUCUGCAGCAAACUCCAGUGGACUUGAAUAUGCACCUGAAGCAAUCUUGCUCUUCACCGUGCCCAAAUCCAUUGGAUUUUUAAUGACAGUGAAAUAAUCUGGUAUGUUCAACUUGACCACAUCAACUGGUGCAUUGAAAACCCAACCAAAUUGAUGUGCCAUCAUACGGUUUAGCAAGGUUUCACACUGUUU
RNAcentral lists this unclassified non-coding RNA (477 nucleotides) under Hevea brasiliensis (rubber tree). The record is from RNAcentral. Lineage: Eukaryota; Viridiplantae; Streptophyta; Magnoliopsida; Malpighiales; Euphorbiaceae.